RNAcentral lists this transfer RNA (71 nucleotides) under Dipodomys ordii (Ord's kangaroo rat). It matches the Rfam family "tRNA". Rfam says of the family: Transfer RNA (tRNA) molecules are approximately 80 nucleotides in length. Their secondary structure includes four short double-helical elements and three loops (D, anti-codon, and T loops). The record is from Rfam by way of RNAcentral. Lineage: Eukaryota; Metazoa; Chordata; Mammalia; Rodentia; Heteromyidae.
GGUGCUUUGGCUCAAGUGAUAGAGCACUUGCCUUGCAUGCAUGAGGCCCUGGGUUCGAUUCCUCAGUACCA